Molecule: ribosomal RNA, 253 nt
Filed under: uncultured bacterium
Lineage: Bacteria
Description: partial 16S ribosomal RNA
Rfam family: Bacterial small subunit ribosomal RNA
Source: RNAcentral
UACGUAGGCAGCAAACGUUGUUCGGAAUUACUGGGCGUAAAGAGUGUGUAGGCGGUUUUGUUAGUUUGGUGUGAAAUCUCCCGGCUUAACUGGGAGGGUGCGCCGAAUACUGCAAAGCUUGAGUACUGGAGAGGAUAGCGGAAUUCCUGGUGUAGCGGUGAAAUGCGCAGAUAUCAGGAAGAACACCCGUGGCGAAGGCGGCUCUCUGGGACGGUACUGACGCUGAGACGCGAAAGCGUGGGGAGCGAACAGG